GAUGAACGCUGGCGGCGUGCCUAAUACAUGCAAGUCGAGCGAACAGACGAGAGUGCUUGCACUCUCUGACGUUAGCGGCGGACGGGUGAGUAACACGUGGGUAACCUACCUAUAAGACUGGGAUAACUUCGGGAAACCGGAGCUAAUACCGGAUAAUAUUUAGCUUCGCAUGAAGCAAUAGUGAAAGACGGUUCUGCUGUCACUUAUAGAUGGACCCGCGGUGUAUUAGCUAGUUGGUGAGGUAACGGCUCACCAAGGCUAUGAUACAUAGCCGACCUGAGAGGGUGAUCGGCCACACUGGGACUGAGACACGGCCCAGACUCCUACGGGAGGCAGCAGUAGGGAAUCUUCCGCAAUGGACGAAAGUCUGACGGAGCAAUGCCGCGUGAGUGAAGAAGGUUUUCGGAUCGUAAAACUCUGUUGUAAGGGAAGAACAAGUACGUUAGUAACUGAACGUACCUUGACGGUACCUUACCAGAAAGCCACGGCUAACUACGUG
RNAcentral lists this ribosomal RNA (499 nucleotides) under uncultured bacterium. Its description in RNAcentral is "partial 16S ribosomal RNA". It matches the Rfam family "Bacterial small subunit ribosomal RNA", at positions 28 to 507 of the family's 1533-position model. The record is from RNAcentral.